AGGGGUAUAGCUCAGUGGUGUACAGCAUUCGACUGCAGAUCGAGAGGUCUCCGGUUCAAACUCGAUGCCUUCU
Trichonephila inaurata madagascariensis is the source of this 73-nucleotide non-coding RNA. NCBI's taxonomy places the organism in Eukaryota, Metazoa, Arthropoda, Arachnida, Araneae, Nephilidae. The record is from the annotation of a GenBank genome assembly.